Molecule: unclassified non-coding RNA, 246 nt
Filed under: Bombus terrestris (buff-tailed bumblebee)
Lineage: Eukaryota; Metazoa; Arthropoda; Insecta; Hymenoptera; Apidae
Description: misc RNA ENSBTSG00005035825.1
Source: RNAcentral
AGAAAGAGAGAGAGAGAGAGAGAGAGAGAGACAGAGAGAAACAGAGGCAACUGGUUCGCGUGCAACGGGAACCGGUUCGGCUCUUUCAAAAAUCCGUACUUACGCCUGCGCGUGACAAAAUGGAAGGAGUUAAAGAGAGCGUUCGUCGCGACGCGCUGUGUAAACAAACUGCGAUCCAACGCGUGCGUUUUCACGGUAGGAUCGACGAUAAGUGAGCGAGGUUAGCCGAAUAAGUCGGACGAAAGG